This 465-nucleotide ribosomal RNA is filed under the name Vreelandella stevensii. RNAcentral describes it as "partial 16S ribosomal RNA". It matches the Rfam family "Bacterial small subunit ribosomal RNA", at positions 338 to 795 of the family's 1533-position model. Lineage: Bacteria; Pseudomonadati; Pseudomonadota; Gammaproteobacteria; Oceanospirillales; Halomonadaceae. The record is from RNAcentral.
CCUACGGGAGGCAGCAGUGGGGAAUAUUGGACAAUGGGCGAAAGCCUGAUCCAGCCAUGCCGCGUGUGUGAAGAAGGCCUUCGGGUUGUAAAGCACUUUCAGUGGGGAAGAAAGCCUUGGGGCUAAUACCCUCGAGGAAGGACAUCACCCACAGAAGAAGCACCGGCUAACUCCGUGCCAGCAGCCGCGGUAAUACGGAGGGUGCGAGCGUUAAUCGGAAUUACUGGGCGUAAAGCGCGCGUAGGCGGUCUGAUAAGCCGGUUGUGAAAGCCCCGGGCUCAACCUGGGAACGGCAUCCGGAACUGUCAGGCUAGAGUGCAGUAGAGGAGGGUAGAAUUCCCGGUGUAGCGGUGAAAUGCGUAGAGAUCGGGAGGAAUACCGGUGGCGAAGGCAGCCUUCUGGACUGUAACUGACGCUGAGGUGCGAAAGCGUGGGUAGCAAACAGGAUUAGAUACCCCUGUAGUC